Molecule: transfer RNA, 74 nt
Filed under: Fidelibacterota bacterium
Lineage: Bacteria; Pseudomonadati; Fidelibacterota
Description: tRNA-Arg
Rfam family: tRNA
About the family: Transfer RNA (tRNA) molecules are approximately 80 nucleotides in length. Their secondary structure includes four short double-helical elements and three loops (D, anti-codon, and T loops).
Source: RNAcentral
GCCCCGAUAGCUCAACUGGAUAGAGCAACGGUCUUCUAAACCGUAGGUUACAGGUUCGAGUCCUGUUCGGGGUA